Molecule: ribosomal RNA, 469 nt
Filed under: uncultured bacterium
Lineage: Bacteria
Description: partial 16S ribosomal RNA
Rfam family: Bacterial small subunit ribosomal RNA
Source: RNAcentral
GAUGAACGCUGGCGGCGUGCUUAACACAUGCAAGUCGAACGGUGAACACGGAGCUUGCUCUGUGGGAUCAGUGGCGAACGGGUGAGUAACACGUGAGCAACCUGCCCCUGACUCUGGGAUAAGCGCUGGAAACGGCGUCUAAUACUGGAUAUGUGACGUGACCGCAUGGUCUGCGUUUGGAAAGAUUUUUCGGUUGGGGAUGGGCUCGCGGCCUAUCAGCUUGUUGGUGAGGUAAUGGCUCACCAAGGCGUCGACGGGUAGCCGGCCUGAGAGGGUGACCGGCCACACUGGGACUGGGACACGGCCCAGACUCCUACGGGAGGCAGCAGUGGGGAAUAUUGCACAAUGGGCGCAAGCCUGAUGCAGCAACGCCGCGUGAGGGAUGACGGCCUUCGGGUUGUAAACCUCUUUUAGCAGGGAAGAAGCGAAAGUGACGGUACCUGCAGAAAAAGCGCCGGCUAACUACGUG